RNAcentral lists this unclassified non-coding RNA (662 nucleotides) under Hevea brasiliensis (rubber tree). The record is from RNAcentral. Lineage: Eukaryota; Viridiplantae; Streptophyta; Magnoliopsida; Malpighiales; Euphorbiaceae.
GUUGCACCAACCAUAUGACCUACGACAAAGAUCUGUUCAAAGAAUUGACGGAGACUGAGGUCAAAAGGGUCAAAAUUGGAAAUGGUGAAUACAUCUCUGUGAAGGGAAAAGGCACUGUAGUUUUAACAAGUUACUCAGGUACAAAAACUCUUACUGAUGUUCUCUAUGUACCUGAAAUUAAUCAAAAUUUGCUAAGUGUUGGACAGCUGCUUGAGAAAGGAUUCAAAGUUAUUUUUGAAGAAAAAUGUUGCAUGAUCAAGGAUCCGACAGGCCAGGAGAUGUUCAAAAUCAAAAUGAGGAGCAAGAGUUUUUCAUUUGAUCCAAUGGAGGAGGAGCAGGCUGCCUUCCCAGUUACAGCAAGCUUAACUGAUCUCUGGCACAAGAGAUUGGGUCAUUUCCAUCAUUCUGGAAUGAUUUACAUGCAGCAAAAUCAACUAGUUCAUGGAGUGCCAACCUUGACAGCAGAUUUAAAUGAUUGUGAGGCAUGUCAAUUUGGGAAGCAGACAAGAAAAUCAUUUCCUAAAAGUGCUUGGAGGGCCACACAAAAACUCCAGUUAGUUCACACUGAUCUUGCUGGACCACAAAGAACUCCAUCACUAAAGGGAAGUCUUUAUUAUGUCAUUUUUAUUGAUGAUCUAACCAGAAUGUGUUGGAUUUAUUUU